CGUAAAGCGCGCGCAGGCGGUUUCUUAAGUCUGAUGUGAAAGCCCACGGCUCAACCGUGGAGGGUCAUUGGAAACUGGGGAACUUGAGUGCAGAAGAGAAAAGCGGAAUUCCACGUGUAGCGGUGAAAUGCGUAGAGAUGUGGAGGAACACCAGUGGCGAAGGCGGCUUUUUGGUCUGUAACUGACGCUGAGGCGCGAAAGCGUGGGGAGCAAACAGGAUUAGAUACCCUGGUAGUCCACGCCGUAAACGAUGAGUGCUAAGUGUUAGAGGGUUUCCGCCCUUUAGUGCUGCAGCUAACGCAUUAAGCACUCCGCCUGGGGAGUACGGUCGCAAGACUGAAACUCAAAGGAAUUGACGGGGGCCCGCACAAGCGGUGGAGCAUGUGGUUUAAUUCCAAGCAACGCGAAGAACCUUACC
This 418-nucleotide ribosomal RNA is filed under the name Priestia megaterium. Its description in RNAcentral is "bacterial SSU rRNA". It matches the Rfam family "Bacterial small subunit ribosomal RNA", at positions 559 to 975 of the family's 1533-position model. The record is from RNAcentral. Lineage: Bacteria; Bacillati; Bacillota; Bacilli; Caryophanales; Bacillaceae.